GAUGAACGCUGGCGGCGUGCCUAAUACAUGCAAGUCGAGCGAACAGACGAGGAGCUUGCUUCUCUGAUGUUAGCGGCGGACGGGUGAGUAACACGUGGAUAACCUACCUAUAAGACUGGGAUAACUUCGGGAAACCGGAGCUAGUACCGGAUAAUAUUUUGAACCGCAUGGUUCAAAAGUGAAAGACGGUCUUGCUGUCACUUAUAGAUGGAUCCGCGCUGCAUUAGCUAGUUGGUAAGGUAACGGCUUACCAAGGCAACGAUGCGUAGCCGACCUGAGAGGGUGAUCGGCCACACUGGAACUGAGACACGGUCCAGACUCCUACGGGAGGCAGCAGUAGGGAAUCUUCCGCAAUGGGCGAAAGCCUGACGGAGCAACGCCGCGUGAGUGAUGAAGGUCUUCGGAUCGUAAAACUCUGUUAUUAGGGAAGAACAAAUGUGUAAGUAACUAUGCACGUCUUGACGGUACCUAAUCAGAAAGCCACGGCUAACUACGUG
This 497-nucleotide ribosomal RNA is filed under the name uncultured bacterium. RNAcentral describes it as "partial 16S ribosomal RNA". It matches the Rfam family "Bacterial small subunit ribosomal RNA", at positions 28 to 507 of the family's 1533-position model. The record is from RNAcentral.